Molecule: ribosomal RNA, 390 nt
Filed under: uncultured bacterium
Lineage: Bacteria
Description: bacterial SSU rRNA
Rfam family: Bacterial small subunit ribosomal RNA
Source: RNAcentral
GACGAACGCUGGCGGCGUGCUUAACACAUGCAAGUCGAGCGGUAAGGCCCUUUCGGGGGUACGACGAGCGGCGAACGGGUGAGUAACACGUGGGUGACCUGCCCUUAGCUCUGGGAUAAGCCUGGGAAACUGGGUCUAAUACCGGAUAUGACCUCAUGACGCAUGUUGUGGGGUGGAAAGCCUUGUGCGGCUAGGGGAUGGGGCCCGCGGCCUAUCAGCUUGUUGGUGGGGUGAUGGCCACCAAGGCGACGACGGGUAGCCGGCCUGAGAGGGCGACCGGCCACACUGGGACUGAGACACGGCCCAGACUCCUACGGGAGGCAGCAGUGGGGAAUCUUGCGCAAUGGGCGAAAGCCUGACGCAGCGACGCCGCGUGAGGGAUGACGGCCU